This is a long non-coding RNA of Poeciliopsis prolifica (blackstripe livebearer), 776 nucleotides long. RefSeq lists it as uncharacterized. The record is from RefSeq and is a predicted model, not a curated record. The transcript is spliced from 5 exons. NCBI's taxonomy places the organism in Eukaryota, Metazoa, Chordata, Actinopteri, Cyprinodontiformes, Poeciliidae.
CAUAAUAUUUAGGUUCGGAGCUGAAACAUUUGCUAAUGUGAAAAUUAGCGGAAGUAGACUAUCACAAUAAAAGCUAGGAAUUGAUUAUGUCUACUGAUAAACUCCUGCUGCUGGCGAGAAUGGAUCAAUUCAUCCGACCUUCAGAUUCUCCUUUUACUGGCUGUCAUCUGGCUUUUUGUUCACCAGACGUGUGGCACCUAUCAAAGUCAGACAACAGCAUCAAUAAAAGACAACAUUGGUGCGUAUGACACCUGAUUUACCUCCAGAGAUGAGCCAACAAAGCCUGAGAUGAGGGCGGGGUCCGCCCCUCCUGGGAGUCUGAAGGGUUAACCUGGACAUCUGGCCCUCGAUCACCCAGCAGAUUACUGGAAGGUGAUACAUAACGGACAAUGAGCUAAUGUGCAUCAGCUCAGCAGGCCCUCAGGCGCCACGUGCCGCCGCCGCAAAGGAGACGGGCGCUGUGAAAUCCAAUCGGUCAGCGUGUGAGGAUGACUCCCAAGUUCAACAGGGCCUUGAAGCAGAGGAAAUGGGAGCUGCCAUUUCUGGAAGGCGCAGCGGCACGCACGGGGGACGCAUGUGUGGAUAACGACAGCCCUCAACACCCACAGAGCAAGGCACCUCGCUCUGGGAACGCCGGUGAGGGCCACCUGUACUUCCUGGAAGAGGAGGAAAAACAACUUGAAGCCGCCGCUGCAAUAAACAGGACAAACAGCCGAACGGCUCGUUAGGAAACUCAAACUGCUUCACUGUGUUGAGAGGCCAGCUGCAAUAAAACA